This 1313-nucleotide long non-coding RNA is filed under the name Heterocephalus glaber (naked mole-rat). RNAcentral's name for it is "lncRNA (ENSHGLG00000034147.1)". The record is from RNAcentral. Lineage: Eukaryota; Metazoa; Chordata; Mammalia; Rodentia; Bathyergidae.
AAGUAUAUUUGCAAUAAAUGGUGAGUCAGAAUUUAAACACAGUAAUUUCAGAGCCAGGGAGUUUUAUUCCCCUCUGGCAUUUACUCUGCCAUUGACAAGACAUGGCGCUGCUUAGGAUGCUGGAAGCAAGGCGUCCUCUCUCCACAUUCUCCAACCUGCAGCUCCUGGGCAGACACAAGUUCCUCUGUCUCUCCUCUGUCCUCUCACUGGGGACUCUAAUCCAGAACAGCUCUCUGCUCCCCACAGGCUCAGCAGUUUACCUUCAGGCACAGGGCCAUCUGCUGGCCAAACGCAGCGAUCAUGUGACAGCACGUGUGCCUUCAAACCAGGGCUACUUUACUAAUACAGACCCAACUAACAAGUUUUAUUAAAACAGUAAGUGACUGUCAGAGAGGUACAAAUCAGGAAAUUGAUCUGUUUCCUGAUGUCAUUUUGGUUUUAAGUUCCAUAGAGACAAGAAAGAAAGAGAAGGAUAUGCUGAAGAAUAAGCACAAAUUUUGGCUACACAGGCAGAACUGAGUAAUUGCUUAAAGGAAAACUCGGCAUACUCAUUUUCAUUAUCUAACAUUUGUCAUGUGGCUUCUGGGUCCCAAGCACUUUCAUCUGUAAGGCAGAAAAUCAGAAGCUUUAAGCAAAGAAACUUACACUGAGCCACACACUAGCAAGUGCAGUGGUAAAGGUUAGACCGCCCGCCCAGCUUAGUGAGCCGGGCCCUUGCAACUCCUCGGCUCCCUGCUCUGUCCUCAGCUGUGCUCUGCUGUCCUCUGCUGUCCUCUGCCAGCAAUGAACACUAAAAUGCAUGGACUUCUAGAGCUUUCACCCUGUGGCAGAAAACAUCUGGAUGCUAUUUCAACAUGAAGGGCCUUUCUUUUCCUAUAAAAGCUUCCAGCUUCUCAUGGUUCAUAGCAAGAAAAGGCCUUACUACAAAGUUGUUGACUAUAACAGAAAGAUUUUCAGAUUCACUGCUGUGAUUCUUUUGUAUUUUUAUCAACAGGCAUUAGCAUAACAUUUUUCAAAUUUAUAUCCACAGAAUUAAAAAAGUUUCCCCCCCUUUAUUAUAAAGCAAUAGCUGUUCAAGGUUGAAAACACAGCGUGCUGAAAAAUAGACAUUACUUCUCAUUGUUCAACUAGAACAUGUGACUUGCUUUUACAUAGCUGGAGUUGCACAAGAAUGUAUUCCAUUUUUUGUGGGUUUGUUUUUUGGUACCGGGGAUCGAACUUGGGUCCUUGAGCUUGUGAGGCAGGUGGUGGAACCACUGAGCUAAAUCCCCGGCCCAAUAUUCCAUUUUUUCCAUUAACAUUAUAUUUAUUUC